CCUACGGGGGGCAGCAGUGGGGAAUAUUGGACAAUGGGGGCAACCCUGAUCCAGCCAUGCCGCGUGUGUGAAGAAGGCCCUCGGGUUGUAAAGCACUUCCAGUGAGGAAGAACGCCUGGUGGUUAAUACCCAUCAGGAAAGACAUCACUCACAGAAGAAGCACCGGCUAACUCCGUGCCAGCAGCCGCGGUAAUACGGAGGGUGCGAGCGUUAAUCGGAAUUACUGGGCGUAAAGCGCGCGUAGGUGGCUUGAUAAGCCGGUUGUGAAAGCCCCGGGCUCAACCUGGGAACGGCAUCCGGAACUGUCAAGCUAGAGUGCAGGAGAGGAAGGUAGAAUUCCCGGUGUAGCGGUGAAAUGCGUAGAGAUCGGGAGGAAUACCAGUGGCGAAGGCGGCCUUCUGGACUGACACUGACACUGAGGUGCGAAAGCGUGGGUAGCAAACAGGAUUAGAUACCCCAGUAGUC
Molecule: ribosomal RNA, 465 nt
Filed under: Vreelandella stevensii
Lineage: Bacteria; Pseudomonadati; Pseudomonadota; Gammaproteobacteria; Oceanospirillales; Halomonadaceae
Description: partial 16S ribosomal RNA
Rfam family: Bacterial small subunit ribosomal RNA
Source: RNAcentral